GGCGCGGUGGCGGAGAGGCUACGCAGCGGAUUGCAAAUCCGUGUACACCGGUUCAAAUCCGGUCCGCGCCUCCA
Molecule: transfer RNA, 74 nt
Filed under: Alphaproteobacteria bacterium
Lineage: Bacteria; Pseudomonadati; Pseudomonadota; Alphaproteobacteria
Description: tRNA-Cys
Rfam family: tRNA
About the family: Transfer RNA (tRNA) molecules are approximately 80 nucleotides in length. Their secondary structure includes four short double-helical elements and three loops (D, anti-codon, and T loops).
Source: RNAcentral